AUCAUACAAGAGGUUGGUGAAACUUAGAGUAUAUCGAAAAGGAGGUGUGCAAUUGAAAAUCGUCGCAUCCCGCCGUCCGAAGAUACUGCAAUUAUGCAGGCCAUGGUCAUCUAAGAUUUCUGGUGGUGGUGGCAGAUUUGGGAGCUACAUCUGGGCACAACAUGGAAUCAACUCAUCCAAAUGGGCGUAUGUUUUAGUUUGGAAAUUCUGACGUCGGGCGUGUGAUACUCAACCUUUUCCUGAUGCAGAUGCACAUGCUUAAAUGCUUGUGGAUAUGACAAUCAGAUUAUUGCAAGAUUAAUUGGAUGAGAUGUAAUAGUGAGUUGUUUUAAAGAAGCAUUGUUCUGGUAUUGGUCGAUGCUAUUGAGCCAUUCGUUUGGCCUUGUCAUUGCAGUUGAUCAACCACACCCUCUUUCUCCUUGCGAAUGAUGCGUGGGUUCCGAAACCACCAGCGCUGCAUAUGCCAAACAGACACGCCUUGGUUCUUGAUAGAGCUUGAAUCAACUUGUGUAGUCUGACUAGAGGAAUUAGAUGUACUGUAAUGUUUUAUGAUAACAGUGAUGUGUAGAUUGUAGUGUUAGUCAACUAAAUUACCAAUGCCGUGUAGACGUUAACCGGAUUUUCUUUUUAUACAGCAGAGCAGCUGUCCCUCAAAACAAAACUCAAAAUUGUGGCCUCUCUGACGUUUCAACAAGACCAGACACUCAAACUAAGGGACUAUUGAGCUAGUUUCGUGUUCAAAAACUUUUGACUGAAAGUAAUGGCAAGUGUUCUCUGGUACAA
Molecule: long non-coding RNA, 783 nt
Filed under: Physcomitrium patens
Lineage: Eukaryota; Viridiplantae; Streptophyta; Bryopsida; Funariales; Funariaceae
Description: long non-coding RNA (PPAT_LNC006605)
Source: RNAcentral